This 365-nucleotide ribosomal RNA is filed under the name uncultured eukaryote. RNAcentral describes it as "partial 18S ribosomal RNA". It matches the Rfam family "Eukaryotic small subunit ribosomal RNA", at positions 592 to 976 of the family's 1831-position model. The record is from RNAcentral.
CAAUAGCGUAUAUUUAAGUUGUUGCAGUUAAAAAGCUCGUAGUCGGAUUUUGGCUGAGAACGAUCGGUCCGCCGUUAGGUGUGCACUGAUUGGUCUCAGCUUCCUGGUGAGGAGGUGUGCUUCGCGGCCACUUAGUCACCGUGGUUACUUUGAAAAAAUUAGAGUGUUCAAAGCGGGCUUACGCUUGAAUAUAUUAGCAUGGAAUAACACCAUAGGACUCCUGUCCUAUUUCGUUGGUCUCGGGACGGGAGUAAUGAUUAAGAGGAACAGUUGGGGGCAUUCGUAUUUCAUUGUCAGAGGUGAAAUUCUUGGAUUUAUGAAAGACGAACUUCUGCGAAAGCAUUUGCCAAGGAUGUUUUCAUUGA